GAGCGCCGUAGCAAUACGGAGCGGCAGACGGGAGAGUAACACGUGGGAACGUGCCCUUCAGUUCGGAACAACCCAGGGAAACUUGGGCUAAUACCGGAUACGUCCAUAAGGAGAAAGAUUUAUCGCUGAAGGAUCGGCCCGCGUCUGAUUAGCUAGUUGGUGAGGUAACGGCUCACCAAGGCGACGAUCCGUAGCUGGUCUGAGAGGAUGAUCAGCCACACUGGGACUGAGACACGGCCCAGACUCCUACGGGAGGCAGCAGUGGGGAAUAUUGGACAAUGGGGGCAACCCUGAUCCAGCAAUGCCGCGUGAGUGAUGAAGGCCUUAGGGUUGUAAAGCUCUUUCGCCCGCGACGAUGAUGACGGUAGCGGGAGAAGAAGCCCCGGCUAACUUCGUG
RNAcentral lists this ribosomal RNA (397 nucleotides) under uncultured bacterium. RNAcentral's name for it is "bacterial SSU rRNA". It matches the Rfam family "Bacterial small subunit ribosomal RNA", at positions 64 to 507 of the family's 1533-position model. The record is from RNAcentral.